GCUGGCAACAGCGAUAAGGGAACCUCGAGUGCCAGGUUACAAAUCUGGCUGUCGAGAUGCCUAAAAAGCAUUUCAUAGCAAGGGCCGGGCAAGACCGGUGCCAGCCGCCGCGGUAACACCGGCGGCUCGAGUGGUAACCGUUAUUAUUGGGUCUAAAGGGUCUGUAGCCGGCCGGAUAAGUCUCUUGAGAAAUCCAGCAGCUCAACUGUUGGGCUUUCAGGAGAUACUGUUCGGCUCGAGGCCGGGAGAGGUGAGAGGUACUUCAGGGGUAGGGGUGAAAUCUUGUAAUCCUUGAAGGACCACCAGUGGCGAAGGCGUCUCACCAGAACGGACCUGACGGCAAGGGACGAAAGCUAGGGGCACGAACCGGAUUAGGUACCCGGGUAGUCCUAGCCGUAAACGAUACUCGCUAGGUGUCGGCCACGGUGCGACCGUUGUCGGUGCCGUAGGGAAGCCGUGGAGCGAGCCACCUGGGAAGUACGGCCGCAAGGCUGAAACUUAAAUGAAUUGACGG
Molecule: ribosomal RNA, 514 nt
Filed under: uncultured bacterium
Lineage: Bacteria
Description: bacterial SSU rRNA
Rfam family: Archaeal small subunit ribosomal RNA
Source: RNAcentral